GUUUUAAAGGCUUAAAAUAGAAUAUCUAGGUUUAGAUUUGUGUUUUCAUGAUUUUGGCUUUCUUUCGUGGUCGAAGAACUUAUCCACUUAGAGCUUAAUUUAAACAAUAUUUUUGCAUGCUUUUUAAAAUUGAGAUCCAAAAUAGCAGUGGGUACUGUCAUCAGUUGUUUCAGAGAUAUUUUCCUACAUGGCCUGAAAGAUUCCGAUCAUCCCCCGGGGGGGCAGCGCCGCAACCCAAUAUAUAUAAAGGAAGAAAAUUAAAAAAAAAA
Molecule: unclassified non-coding RNA, 269 nt
Filed under: Hevea brasiliensis (rubber tree)
Lineage: Eukaryota; Viridiplantae; Streptophyta; Magnoliopsida; Malpighiales; Euphorbiaceae
Source: RNAcentral